Molecule: long non-coding RNA, 205 nt
Filed under: Elaeis guineensis (African oil palm)
Lineage: Eukaryota; Viridiplantae; Streptophyta; Magnoliopsida; Arecales; Arecaceae
Description: long non-coding RNA (EGUI_LNC039716)
Source: RNAcentral
UGUGGGACCCAUCUUAGGCAUCCUCCUUGCUGGUGUGAGGCAUCACACCAGCACCUCUCCUCUCUCAUUUGGUUAGGUUGCGAAGGUGAUUUGAUCAGAGUUCAUCUCAUUUUUUUGCAUUAUCUAACGUAUAUGCGAAGUAGAAGAUCUGCACUUCCAGGCCUCCGUGAAGGUUUGUUUCAGAUUUUUGGAUAUUUGAUCUCUG